Molecule: ribosomal RNA, 691 nt
Filed under: Enterobacter cloacae
Lineage: Bacteria; Pseudomonadati; Pseudomonadota; Gammaproteobacteria; Enterobacterales; Enterobacteriaceae
Also listed under: 1 other name
Description: partial 23S ribosomal RNA
Rfam family: Bacterial large subunit ribosomal RNA
Source: RNAcentral
CCGGGUUGCGGACAGUGUCUGGUGGGUAGUUUGACUGGGGCGGUCUCCUCCCAAAGAGUAACGGAGGAGCACGAAGGUUAGCUAAUCCUGGUCGGACAUCAGGAGGUUAGUGCAAUGGCAUAAGCUAGCUUGACUGCGAGAGUGACGGCUCGAGCAGGUGCGAAAGCAGGUCAUAGUGAUCCGGUGGUUCUGAAUGGAAGGGCCAUCGCUCAACGGAUAAAAGGUACUCCGGGGAUAACAGGCUGAUACCGCCCAAGAGUUCAUAUCGACGGCGGUGUUUGGCACCUCGAUGUCGGCUCAUCACAUCCUGGGGCUGAAGUAGGUCCCAAGGGUAUGGCUGUUCGCCAUUUAAAGUGGUACGCGAGCUGGGUUUAGAACGUCGUGAGACAGUUCGGUCCCUAUCUGCCGUGGGCGCUGGAGAAUUGAGGGGGGCUGCUCCUAGUACGAGAGGACCGGAGUGGACGCAUCACUGGUGUUCGGGUUGUCAUGCCAAUGGCACUGCCCGGUAGCUAAAUGCGGAAGAGAUAAGUGCUGAAAGCAUCUAAGCACGAAACUUGCCCCGAGAUGAGUUCUCCCUGAGACUUAAAGUCUCCUGAAGGAACGUUGAAGACGACGACGUUGAUAGGUCGGGUGUGUAAGCGCAGCGAUGCGUUGAGCUAACCGAUACUAAUGAACCGUGAGGCUUAACCUU